Molecule: ribosomal RNA, 468 nt
Filed under: uncultured bacterium
Lineage: Bacteria
Description: partial 16S ribosomal RNA
Rfam family: Bacterial small subunit ribosomal RNA
Source: RNAcentral
GACGAACGCUGGCGGCGUGCUUAACACAUGCAAGUCGAACGGAAAGGCCCUGCUUUUGUGGGGUGCUCGAGUGGCGAACGGGUGAGUAACACGUGAGUAACCUGCCCUUGACUUUGGGAUAACUUCAGGAAAUUGGGGCUAAUACCGGAUAGGAGCUCCUGCUGCAUGGUGGGGGUUGGAAAGUUUCGGCGGUUGGGGAUGGACUCGCGGCUUAUCAGCUUGUUGGUGGGGUAGUGGCUUACCAAGGCUUUGACGGGUAGCCGGCCUGAGAGGGUGACCGGCCACAUAGGGACUGAGAUACGGCCCAGACUCCUACGGGAGGCAGCAGUGGGGAAUAUUGCACAAUGGGCGGAAGCCUGAUGCAGCAACGCCGCGUGCGGGAUGACGGCCUUUGGGUUGUAAACCGCUUUCGCCUGUGACGAAGCGUGAGUGACGGUAAUGGGUAAAGAAGCACCGGCUAACUACGUG